UACAGAGGUCUCAAGCGUUGUUCGGAAUCACUGGGCGUAAAGGGUGCGUAGGUGGCGUGGUAAGUCAGAUGUGAAAGCCCGGGGCUCAACCUCGGAAUUGCAUCCGAUACUACCAUGCUAGAGUACUGAAGAGGUGACUAGAAUUCUCGGUGUAGCAGUGAAAUGCGUAGAUAUCGAGAGGAAUACCAACGGCGAAGGCAGGUCACUGGGCAGUUACUGACACUGAGGCACGAAGGCCAGGGGAGCAAACGGGG
Molecule: ribosomal RNA, 254 nt
Filed under: uncultured bacterium
Lineage: Bacteria
Description: partial 16S ribosomal RNA
Rfam family: Bacterial small subunit ribosomal RNA
Source: RNAcentral